UACGAAGGGGGCUAGCGUUGUUCGGAAUCACUGGGCGUAAAGCGCACGCAGGCGGAUCGUUAAGUCAGGGGUGAAAUGCCAAGGCUCAACCUUGGAACUGCCUCUGAUACUGGCGAUCUUCGAGUCCGGGAGAGGUGAGUGGAACUGCGAGUGUAGAGGUGAAAUUCGUAGAUAUUCGCAAGAACACCAGUGGCGAAGGCGGCUCACUGGCCCGGUACUGACGCUGAGGUGCGAAAGCGUGGGGAGCAAACAGG
RNAcentral lists this ribosomal RNA (254 nucleotides) under uncultured bacterium. RNAcentral describes it as "partial 16S ribosomal RNA". It matches the Rfam family "Bacterial small subunit ribosomal RNA", at positions 524 to 776 of the family's 1533-position model. The record is from RNAcentral.